This 354-nucleotide ribosomal RNA is filed under the name uncultured bacterium. RNAcentral's name for it is "bacterial SSU rRNA". It matches the Rfam family "Bacterial small subunit ribosomal RNA", at positions 59 to 395 of the family's 1533-position model. The record is from RNAcentral.
AAGUCGAACGAAGCACUUAUCUUUGAUUCUUCGGAUGAAGAGGUCUGUGACUGAGUGGCGGACGGGUGAGUAACGCGUGGGUAACCUGCCUCAUACAGGGGGAUAACAGUUAGAAAUGACUGCUAAUACCGCAUAAGACCACAGAGCCGCAUGGCUCGGUGGGAAAAACUCCGGUGGUAUGAGAUGGACCCGCGUCUGAUUAGGUAGUUGGUGGGGUAACGGCCUACCAAGCCAACGAUCAGUAGCCGACCUGAGAGGGUGACCGGCCACAUUGGGACUGAGACACGGCCCAAACUCCUACGGGAGGCAGCAGUGGGGAAUAUUGCACAAUGGGGGAAACCCUGAUGCAGCGAC